GAUGAAGAACGCAGCGAAAUGCGAUAAGUAAUGUGAAUUGCAGAAUUCAGUGAAUCAUCGAGUCUUUGAACGCACAUUGCGCCCCCUGGUAUUCCGGGGGGCAUGCCUGUCCGAGCGUCAUUGCCGCCCUCAAGCACGGCUUGUGUGUUGGGCCCCCGCCCCCCGGCUUCGGGGGGCGGGCCCGAAAGGCAGCGGCGGCACCGCGUCCGGUCCUCGAGCGUAUGGGCUUCGUCACCCGCUCUGUAGGCCCGGCCGGCGCCCGCCGGCGACCCCAAUCAAUCUUUCCAGGUUGACCUCGGAUCAGGUAGGGAUACCCGCUGAACUUAAGCAUAUCAAUAGGCGGAGGA
Molecule: unclassified non-coding RNA, 347 nt
Filed under: soil metagenome
Description: partial contains 5.8S ribosomal RNA, internal transcribed spacer 2, and large subunit ribosomal RNA
Rfam family: 5.8S ribosomal RNA (bases 1-120)
Source: RNAcentral